Molecule: transfer RNA, 76 nt
Filed under: Candidatus Jidaibacter acanthamoebae
Lineage: Bacteria; Pseudomonadati; Pseudomonadota; Alphaproteobacteria; Rickettsiales; Candidatus Midichloriaceae
Also listed under: 2 other names
Description: Candidatus Jidaibacter acanthamoeba tRNA-Phe
Rfam family: tRNA
About the family: Transfer RNA (tRNA) molecules are approximately 80 nucleotides in length. Their secondary structure includes four short double-helical elements and three loops (D, anti-codon, and T loops).
Source: RNAcentral
GCCCAGAUAGCUCAGUCGGUAGAGCAAAGGAUUGAAAAUCCUUGUGUCGUUGGUUCGAUUCCAAUUCUGGGCACCA